Molecule: ribosomal RNA, 400 nt
Filed under: uncultured bacterium
Lineage: Bacteria
Description: bacterial SSU rRNA
Rfam family: Bacterial small subunit ribosomal RNA
Source: RNAcentral
UAGGGAAUAUUGGACAAUGGGCGAGAGCCUGAUCCAGCCAUCCCGCGUGCAGGACGACGGCCCUCUGGGUUGUAAACUGCUUUUAUACAGGAAGAAAAAAGGACAUGCGUGUCCUACUGACGGUACUGUAUGAAUAAGCACCGGCUAACUCCGUGCCAGCAGCCGCGGUAAUACGGAGGGUGCAAGCGUUAUCCGGAUUCACUGGGUUUAAAGGGUACGUAGGCUGGCCAAUAAGUCAGUGGUGAAAUCCUGCCGCUUAACGGUAGCAUUGCCAUUGAAACUGUUGGUCUUGAGUGUGAUUGAGGUAGGCGGAAUGUAGCAUGUAGCGGUGAAAUGCAUAGAUAUGCUACAGAACACCGAUAGCGAAGGCAGCUUACCAAGUCACCACUGACGCUAAGGU